This 497-nucleotide ribosomal RNA is filed under the name uncultured bacterium. RNAcentral describes it as "partial 16S ribosomal RNA". It matches the Rfam family "Bacterial small subunit ribosomal RNA", at positions 28 to 507 of the family's 1533-position model. The record is from RNAcentral.
GUUGAACGCUGGCGGCGUGCCUUAUACAUGCAAGUCGAGCUGCCACACGAGGACCUUCCUCCUCUCAUGUUACCGCCGGACGAGUGAUUCACCCGUGCAUACCCUACCUAUAAGACUUACAUAGCUUCGGUUACCCUGAUCUCAUACCCUAUCUUAUAUUGAACCCCAUGGUUCUUUAGUCCUAUCCCGUUUUGCUCUCCCUUAUUGAUGUAUCCGCGCCGCAUUAGCUAGUUGGUAAGGUAACGGCUUACCAAUGCAACGAUGCGUAGCCGACCUGAGAGGGUGAUCGGCCACACUGGAACUGAGACACGGUCCAGACUCCUACGGGAGGCAGCAGUAGGGAAUCUUGCGCAAUGGGCGAAAGCUUGACGGAGCAACGCCGCGUGAGUGAUGAAGGUCUUCGGAUCGUAAAACUCUGUUAUUAGGGAAGAACAAAUGUGUAAGUAACUAUGCACGUCUUGACGGUACCUAAUCAGAAAGCCACGGCUAACUACGUG